Molecule: ribosomal RNA, 253 nt
Filed under: uncultured bacterium
Lineage: Bacteria
Description: partial 16S ribosomal RNA
Rfam family: Bacterial small subunit ribosomal RNA
Source: RNAcentral
UACGGAGGGUGCAAGCGUUGUCCGGAUUUAUUGGGUUUAAAGGGUGCGUAGGCGGCGUAAUAAGUCCGUGGUGAAAGCCAACAGCUCAACUGUUGAACUGCCAUGGAUACUGUUAGGCUUGAGUACAGACGAGGUAGGCGGAAUGGAUCGUGUAGCGGUGAAAUGCAUAGAUACGAUCCAGAACUCCGAUUGCGAAGGCAGCUUACUAGGCUGUAACUGACGCUGAGGCACGAAAGCGUGGGGAGCGAACAGG